UCGAUUGUCCCAGCCGCCGCGGUAAUACGUAGGGUGCAAGCGUUAUCCGGAAUUAUUGGGCGUAAAGGGCUCGUAGGCGGUUCGUCGCGUCCGGUGUGAAAGUCCAUCGCUUAACGGUGGAUCCGCGCCGGGUACGGGCGGGCUUGAGUGCGGUAGGGGAGACUGGAAUUCCCGGUGUAACGGUGGAAUGUGUAGAUAUCGGGAAGAACACCGAUGGCGAAGGCAGGUCUCUGGGCCGUUACUGACGCUGAGGAGCGAAAGCGUGGGGAGCGAACAGGAUUAGAUACCCUGGUAGUCCACGCCGUAAACGGUGGAUGCUGGAUGUGGGGCCCGUUCCACGGGUUCCGUGUCGGGGCUAACGCGUUAAGCAUCCCGCCUGGGGAGUACGGCCGCAAGGCUAAAACUCAAAGAAAUUGACGGGGGCCCGCACAAGCGGCGGAGCAUGCGGAUUAAUUCGAUGCAACGCGAAGAACCUUACCUGGGCUUGACAUGUUCCCGACGAUCCCAGAGAUGGGGUUUCCCUUCGGGGCGGGUUCACAGGUGGUGCAUGGUCGUCGUCAGCUCGUGUCGUGAGAUGUUGGGUUAAGUCCCGCAACGAGCGCAACCCUCGCCCCGUGUUGCCAGCGGAUUAUGCCGGGAACUCACGGGGGACCGCCGGGGUUAACUCGGAGGAAGGUGGGGAUGACGUCAGAUCAUCAUGCCCCUUACGUCCAGGGCUUCACGCAUGCUACAAUGGCCGGUACAACGGGAUGCGACAGUGCGAGCUGGAGCGGAUCCCUGAAAACCGGUCUCAGUUCGGAUCGCAGUCUGCAACUCGACUGCGUGAAGGCGGAGUCGCUAGUAAUCGCGAAUCAGCAACGUCGCGGUGAAUGCGUUCCCGGGCCUUGUACACACCGCCCGUCAAGUCACGAAAGUGGGCAGCACCCGAAGCCGGUGGCCUAACCCCUUGCGGGAGGGAGCCGUCUAAGGUGAGGCUCGUGAUUGGGACUAAGUCGUAACAAGGUAACCA
Molecule: ribosomal RNA, 1009 nt
Filed under: uncultured Bifidobacterium sp.
Lineage: Bacteria; Bacillati; Actinomycetota; Actinomycetes; Bifidobacteriales; Bifidobacteriaceae
Description: bacterial SSU rRNA
Rfam family: Bacterial small subunit ribosomal RNA
Source: RNAcentral